Bactrocera neohumeralis is the source of this 624-nucleotide long non-coding RNA. RefSeq lists it as uncharacterized. The record is from RefSeq and is a predicted model, not a curated record. NCBI's taxonomy places the organism in Eukaryota, Metazoa, Arthropoda, Insecta, Diptera, Tephritidae. The transcript has 2 exons.
UGGGCAAUAAAUGGAUUUUUAAUCGCGUAUUAUUUUUAAAAGAGCAGCUCCUUUCCCCUAGAAAGCUGAAAAUGACUUGAAUGCAAAGAAAUAACGUUAACGAAAGUAUUCCUUGGCACUCCGAGAAGCAAUUCUUGAAUCAGUGGUAGGUGAAGUGAAUAUCUCAGAAACUACUGAGCCAAUAUUAACCAAAUGGUAUAUACCAUUCACCUGAUAUCCUUUUGUUACUCUGGUCUAAGUUCGAAUUCAACUACACAAGUGGAAUACCAUCAUUUUAAAUUCCAACCGAUUAUUUCACUUUACUUCAGAUACAUAUACAUGAAGCACCAGUGAAGAUAUCGGCACAAUAGUUUUUAUAAAUAUAUACAUAAAUAGAAAAUACUAUGUGAACUACCCUGUAUACGUACAUACAUGUUUAUGUCAACAUUGUUAAAUAAGUAGAUUAGGUUUUUAUUGCUAAUUUUAUUUAAAGCUGCAUUUGCUGUUUCUACAUUUCGUUGCUACGCUUUGCGAUAAGCAAAUGCAUACAUGUGUAUGUGUAUCUACAUACAUAUGUAUACCUGUGUAUGUAGAUAUAUUGAACCGCAAUAGAGAUUAUGGAUUCAGCUAAUCCAACGGUCGAAA